Molecule: non-coding RNA, 83 nt
Filed under: Paenibacillus bovis
Lineage: Bacteria; Bacillati; Bacillota; Bacilli; Caryophanales; Paenibacillaceae
Description: c-di-GMP sequence
Rfam family: c-di-GMP-I-GGC riboswitch aptamer
Source: Rfam by way of RNAcentral
CACGAUAACGGCAAACCUGUCUAAAGACAGGGACGCAAAGCUAAAGGGCCUUACCCGCAGGGGUUGGCAGCCAGCUACCGAAC